GGAGGAAAAGAAACUAACAAGGAUUCCCUUAGUAACUGCGAGUGAAGUGGGAAGAGCUCAAAUUUGAAAUCUGGCAGUCUCUGGCUGUCCGAGUUGUAAUCUAGAGAAGUGUUGCCCGCGCUGGACCAUGUACAAGUCUCCUGGGAUGGAGCGUCRUAGAGGGUGAGAAUCCCGUCUUUGACAUGGACUACCAGGGCUUUUGUGGUGCGCUCUCAAAGAGUCGAGUUGUUUGGGAAUGCAGCUCAAAAUGGGUGGUAAAUUCCAUCUAAAGCUAAAUAUUGGCGAGAGACCGAUAGUGAACAAGUACCGUGAGGGAAAGAUGAAAAGAACUUUGGAAAGAGAGUUAAACAGUACGUGAAAUUGCUGAAAGGGAAACGCUUGAAGUCAGUCGCGUUGGCCAGGGAUCAGCCUUGCUUCUUAGUGUGGUGUACUUCCUGGUUGACGGGUCAGCAUCGGUUUUGACUGCUGGAGAAAGGCUUGGGGAAUGUGGCAGCUCUGGCUGUGUUUAUAGCCUCCUGUCAGAUACAGUGGUUGGGACUGAGGAACGCAGCAUGCCGCAAGGCCGGGGCUAUAUCAGCCUACGUUCAUGCUUAGGAUGUUGACAUAAUGGCUUUA
RNAcentral lists this ribosomal RNA (615 nucleotides) under Apterostigma megacephala. RNAcentral describes it as "LSU rRNA". It matches the Rfam family "Eukaryotic large subunit ribosomal RNA", at positions 52 to 642 of the family's 3401-position model. Lineage: Eukaryota; Metazoa; Arthropoda; Insecta; Hymenoptera; Formicidae. The record is from RNAcentral.